GAUGAACGCUGGCGGCAUGCCUAAUACAUGCAAGUCGAACGAGAGGAAGGAAAGCUUGCUUUUCUGAAUCUAGUGGCGAACGGGUGAGUAACACGUAGGUAACCUGCCCAUGUGCCCGGGAUAACUUCUGGAAACGGAUGCUAAAACCGGAUAGGUAGCAGACAAGCAUUUGACUGCUAUUAAAGUGGCUAAGGCCAUGAACAUGGAUGGACCUGCGGUGCAUUAGCUAGUUGGUGAGGUAACGGCCCACCAAGGCGACGAUGCGUAGCCGGCCUGAUGGGGCGGACGGCCACAUUGGGACUGAGACACGGCCCAAACUCCUACGGGCGGCAGCAGUAGGGAAUUUUCGUCAAUGGGGGGAACCCCGAACGAGCAAUGCCGCGUAAGUGAGGAAGGCCUUCGGAUCGUAAAGCUCUGUUGUAAGAGAAAAACGACAUUCAUAGGGAAUGAUGAGUGAGUGAUGGUAUCUUACCAGAAAGUCACGGCUAACUACGUGCCAGCAGCCGCCGUAA
RNAcentral lists this ribosomal RNA (512 nucleotides) under uncultured bacterium. RNAcentral describes it as "partial 16S ribosomal RNA". It matches the Rfam family "Bacterial small subunit ribosomal RNA", at positions 28 to 523 of the family's 1533-position model. The record is from RNAcentral.